This 329-nucleotide unclassified non-coding RNA is filed under the name soil metagenome. RNAcentral describes it as "partial contains 5.8S ribosomal RNA, internal transcribed spacer 2, and large subunit ribosomal RNA". The stretch from base 1 to 120 matches the Rfam family "5.8S ribosomal RNA", at positions 35 to 154 of the family's 154-position model. The record is from RNAcentral.
GAUGAAGAACGCAGCGAAAUGCGAUAAGUAGUGUGAAUUGCAGAAUUCAGUGAAUCAUCGAAUCUUUGAACGCACAUUGCGCCCCUUGGUAUCCCGAGGGGCAUGCCUGUUCGAGCGUCAUUUCACCACUCAAGCCUGGCUUGGUGUUAGGCGACGUCCUCUUUGGGGACGCGCCUCGAAACGCUCGGCGGCGUGGCACCGGCUUUAAGCGUAGCAGAAUCUUUCGCUUUGGAAGUCGGGGCCCCGUCUGCCGGAAGACCUGCUCGCAAGGUUGACCUCGGAUCAGGCAGGGAUACCCGCUGAACUUAAGCAUAUCAAUAAGCGGAGGA